CCUGUCGGUGUAACUGGCAUGUCGCGGCAUGUCCUGUCGGUGGUGAACGGGAUCCCCGGUGCUGUUAAGGCCGUCAGGUCGAAGCAUGUACCGUGUGUGUUUCCGUUUGCCGAUCUCUCCUACUCCGGUGCUCUUAAACGAGUGUCGAGGUAGGCCGACACGUUCACUUUGAACAAAUUAGAGUGCUUAAAGCAGGCUGAAAUAUCUGCCUGAAUAGUGGUGCAUGGAAUGAUAAAACAGGACCUCGGUUCUAUUUUGUUGGUUUUAGGAAUAUGAGGUAAUGAUCAAUGUGGACUGGCGGGGGCAUUCGUAUUGCGACGUUAGAGGUGAAAUUCUUGGAUCGUCGCAAGACGCACUAGAGCGAAAGCAUUUGCCAAGUAUGUCUUAAUUGAUCAAGAACGAAAGUUAGAGGUUCGAAGGCGAUCAGAUACCGCCCUAGUUCUAACCAUAAACGAUGCCAGCCAGCGAU
RNAcentral lists this ribosomal RNA (469 nucleotides) under Brachysandalus lurco. RNAcentral's name for it is "SSU rRNA". It matches the Rfam family "Eukaryotic small subunit ribosomal RNA", at positions 718 to 1053 of the family's 1831-position model. Lineage: Eukaryota; Metazoa; Arthropoda; Insecta; Hemiptera; Reduviidae. The record is from RNAcentral.